Molecule: ribosomal RNA, 492 nt
Filed under: uncultured bacterium
Lineage: Bacteria
Description: partial 16S ribosomal RNA
Rfam family: Bacterial small subunit ribosomal RNA
Source: RNAcentral
AGUGAACGCUGGCGGUAGGCCUAACACAUGCAAGUCGAACGGCAGCACAGUAAGAGCUUGCUCUUACGGGUGGCGAGUGGCGGACGGGUGAGGAAUACAUCGGAAUCUACUUUUUCGUGGGGGAUAACGUAGGGAAACUUACGCUAAUACCGCAUACGACCUACGGGUGAAAGCAGGGGAUCUUCGGACCUUGCGCGAUUGAAUGAACCGAUGUCGAAUUAGCUAGUUGGCGGGGUAAAGGCCCACCAAGGCGACGAUCCGUACCUGGUCUGAGAGGAUGAUCAGCCACACUGGAACUGAGACACAGUCCAGACUCCUACGGGAGGCAGCAGUAGGAAAUAUUGGACAAUGGGAGCAAGCCUGAUCCAGACACACCGCGUGGGUGAAGAAGGCCUUCUGGUUGUAAAGCCCUUUUGUUGGGGAAGAAAAGCAGCAGGUUAAUACCCCGCUGUUCUGACGGUACCCAAAGAAUAAGCACCGGCUAACUUCGUG